Molecule: unclassified non-coding RNA, 359 nt
Filed under: uncultured fungus
Lineage: Eukaryota; Fungi
Description: partial contains 5.8S ribosomal RNA and internal transcribed spacer 2
Rfam family: 5.8S ribosomal RNA (bases 1-133)
Source: RNAcentral
UGGCUCUGGCAUCGAUGAAGAACGCAGCGAAAUGCGAUAAGUAAUGUGAAUUGCAGAAUUCAGUGAACCAUCGAAUCUUUGAACGCACAUUGCGCCCGCCAGUAUUCUGGCGGGCAUGCCUGUUCGAGCGUCAUUAACACCCCUCAAGCCCCCGGGCUUGGCGUUGGGGAUCAGCAGUGGGCGUCGGGGCACCUCCGGGUCCCCCCCUUCGCUUUCCUGUCCCCCAAAUCCAGUGGCGGUCACCUCGCGGCCCUCCCUUGCGUAGUAGAAAACACCUCGCACCGGAGCCCGUGGCGGCCUGCCGUAAAACCCCCGACUUUGCAACAGUUGACCUCGAAUCAGGUAGGACUACCCGCUGA